Molecule: long non-coding RNA, 2576 nt
Filed under: Homo sapiens (human)
Lineage: Eukaryota; Metazoa; Chordata; Mammalia; Primates; Hominidae
Description: HSALNT0158065
Source: RNAcentral
GUUGGUUUAGAGAGCACAUAGUAUAUAUAGUGCACAGUUUAUAUAGUAUGUAACUGCUAGUUAUUCAGAAACAGUAUAAUAUUUUCUGCUGAAAGAAAAUGAUUACAGAAAAAAAAGAUUGCUGAGCCUCCCAGUAGGUAGUGCACAAGAUAGAUGUCAUUCAAAGUGAUGUGCUUUCCAACAGCAUGAGAGUUCUCAAUAAACAUAUGUACACAAUUUUGAAAUUAGAUUUCUUCCCCAAAAUGUCCAAAUCAUAUGUUAAACAAGAGACAAAUGGAGAUGUGAAAAACCUCACAUGCUUUUGAUUAGGACAAGAUGCAGUCAGGCUGGCUGCUAGUUCUUUCCACUUGGAUCCUUAAUGUUGUAGGUAAUUCUCCCCACCCGGCCACUGCAGCAGGAAUCCAGUGCCUGUCAACUGCCGGACUGGCUGGUUUCCUGUGGAAUCACAGGACCUGCUGAAUCUUGAAGGCAUCACGACUUUGCUGUCUACUACUGAGUUCUCCAAAGAGUACAAGUGGGUUUGGAUAUAUCACAUAUUUACACCUUUUGCCAUAUAUACAUAUACAAAGUUAUUUAUAUAUGUGUCCAUGUGUUUAUGCUCACACACAUUUGUACUGUUGAGUAUAAAUACUCUAAAAAUUUUCAAAGUUGUGACAAUAAGAUCAGGUGAUGCUUGGGGUUGCUAUAAUUUUUAUUAGACAUCUGGAAGGUACGUCCUGCAAUAGAAGUUUCUGCAAUAAGGUGCUGACAUUUACCUCAAAGUGCUGUUUAUUUACUUCUUCAUUUGGGACCUGGUAUUGAAAGGGUCAGGGAUGGCUCAGGGAAAAGGUCCAGUUAUUUGAAAUUCUUCUGGUUUAUUUCGUUGGUGUUUGUUCAGCGUUUCAGUUUAAUGAAGUUGUCCUUCCAACUCAUUCCUUGAGCUCAGUGACUCCAGGCUUUUUUAGAAAGAUUACAAGGCCAAAUGCAUAUUGUAUUAUAUGUCUCUGUCAAUCCACAAGGCCUGUGGAUCAGAAACGGGGAAGAUAGAAGGCAUAUGGAAAAUUGAAUGUUUCCUCUAACUGUGUAUGUGGAUCUUCAAUACACAUCGGUGGGUCCAUGUGGAUGAUACAUAUUUGUGUCUUACUAUAAGCAGCUGGAAGGGAUUAGAGUUUGUGAUAAGGAUCUGGUUGAAUGCUUUCUUCUAUUCUGAGAGAUGUUUCUGUAGGUGUGUAAAUACUGCUAGAAAGUAAUUUAGAGAGAAAAGUAAUCUAUUCAAUGGCAAGGGCCGUUAAUUUUAAGUUCUAGAUGCAAAUGUUAUAAUUGCUUUAUCUUUCAUGGCAUUAAAUAAAUGAAUCACCAUGUGGAUUGAUCUAUCUCUCUCAUUUACAUGCAUACACACACACACACAUACACACACACACACACACAUAUGCAGGAAUUUCUCCCUCCUUUCUCACUUAUAGGUCUCAAGAAUAACUGUAGAAUGUGCUGGGAAUACAACAUCCCUGGCUGGCAGCAAUAGCCUGGGCUCUGUUCUAGUUCCCCCUUAAAACAGGAAAUCUUUCAGCACUGUAGCUGAGAUAAUCACAUGACCCUAGAGUAUAAAACCUAAGACAAAGCUGCUUUCAGCAGUAGUGAGAGUGGGGUAGUUUCAGAUGAGACUCUUAUCUCCCUCGGCAGCUUUCUUGAGCCUUGGAAGACUGGCUUACUGUAAAUCCUAGGCCUCUGUUGUCCCUUGCUGCCUAUCUGUGAGUGAAACCUACUUCAUGCAACAUGCUGUGUGUGAGUGUGUUCUGUCUUAUGGGACUCAGGUAAGUGGGUAAGCAGGCACCGUGAACCUGCUACACAAUAUGCAAUACAUAUAAUGCACACACUCAUGUAGAUGUAAGCUUGGGCUGAGGUGAAUACUGGAGAUACAAGGAAGCAUCCCAUAGAAAAACCUAAGUAUAAAUCAAAUAGAUAAAUAAAGCAAAUAACUUUCUCCUUAACAUGUCCCAUAUAUAUUAUCUUCAAAAAUUUUUGCAAGGUUUCAGAAGGAGCAACCAGAAGGAAGUACUCUCUUCUUGCGGGGGUCACUGCUUACAACACAACUGUGGAAAGUCAAAUAAUCUUCCAGGUACCUCGGUUUUCUCAUCUAUAACAUGAGAUACUUAAAAUAGAGUAUUUGUAAAAAUCAUUUCACCUUUAAAGUUUCAUAAUCUGUUUUAUCCUGCACAGCAUUCCUCCUCUUUAUUCUUUCAGGGGGAUAUUAGCCUUCCUUGCCUUCCUGCUGAGAACUCUUCUUGCCUGGUCUAGUGCAUCUCAAUGUCACUGAACACAGGGUGGACAUGGCACAGACUGGCAAUGAGUUUUUCUUUUCCUGGUCUGGACACAAAAGCAUGACUUUAGAAAACAAUAUAUCUGAGGUUUAAUAUGGGCGCUGCAAAACAGAGCAUAAGCCUCCUCUGAGAACGUGAGUGCAAAGGUUAGGGGAGUGUGGAGCUUCAGGGGAUGUCUGCUGUGAUGUGGGGAACGGUCUGCAGGAUAAAGCGUCAAAAGCACUGGACCCGACACGGUCUUACAGGCUCUGCCUGGGCCACCAGACUGACUAGGCUGGG